RNAcentral lists this ribosomal RNA (334 nucleotides) under Acanthamoeba genotype T4. RNAcentral's name for it is "SSU rRNA". It matches the Rfam family "Eukaryotic small subunit ribosomal RNA", at positions 810 to 1100 of the family's 1831-position model. The record is from RNAcentral. Lineage: Eukaryota; Discosea; Longamoebia; Acanthamoebidae.
UAGGACCCUGUCCUCCUAUUUUCAGUUGGUUUUGGCAGCGCGAGGACUAGGGUAAUGAUUAAUAGGGAUAGUUGGGGGCAUUAAUAUUUAAUUGUCAGAGGUGAAAUUCUUGGAUUUAUGAAAGAUUAACUUCUGCGAAAGCAUCUGCCAAGGAUGUUUUCAUUAAUCAAGAACGAAAGUUAGGGGAUCGAAGACGAUCAGAUACCGUCGUAUUCUUAACCAUAAACGAUGCCGACCAGCGAUUAGGAGACGUUGAAUACAAAACACCACCAUCGGCGCGGUCGUCCUUGGCGCGUUCGUGUUCACGCACGGGCGCGCGAGGGCGGUUUAGCCC